Molecule: ribosomal RNA, 426 nt
Filed under: uncultured fungus
Lineage: Eukaryota; Fungi
Description: eukaryotic LSU rRNA
Rfam family: Eukaryotic large subunit ribosomal RNA
Source: RNAcentral
UUUGACCUCAAAUCAGGUAGGACUACCCGCUGAACUUAAGCAUAUCAAUAAGCGGAGGAAAAGAAACUAACAAGGAUUCCCCUAGUAACUGCGAGUGAAGCGGGAAAAGCUCAAAUUUAAAAUCUGGCGGUCUCUGGCCGUCCGAGUUGUAAUCUAGAGAAGUGUUAUCCGCGCUGGACCGUGUACAAGUCUCCUGGAAUGGAGCGUCAUAGAGGGUGAGAAUCCCGUCUUUGACACGGACUGCCAGGGCUUUGUGAUGCGCUCUCAAAGAGUCGAGUUGUUUGGGAAUGCAGCUCAAAAUGGGUGGUAAAUUCCAUCUAAAGCUAAAUAUUGGCGAGAGACCGAUAGCGAACAAGUACCGUGAGGGAAAAGAUGAAAAGAACUUUGGAAAGAGAGUUAAACAGUACGUGAAAUUGCUGAAAGGGA